UCCGUAGGUGAACCUGCGGAGGGAUCAUUACCGAGUUUACAACUCCCAAACCCAAUGUGAACGUUACCAAUCUGUUGCCUCGGCGGGAUUCUCUGCCCCGGGCGCGUCGCAGCCCCGGAUCCCAUGGCGCCCGCCGGAGGACCAACUCAAACUCUUUUUUCUCUCCGUCGCGGCCUACGUCGCGGCUCUGUUUUAUUUUUGCUCUGAGCCUUUCUCGGCGACCCUAGCGGGCGUCUCGAAAAUGAAUCAAAACUUUCAACAACGGAUCUCUUGGUUCUGGCAUCGAUGAAGAACGCAGCGAAAUGCGAUAAGUAAUGUGAAUUGCAGAAUUCAGUGAAUCAUCGAAUCUUUGAACGCACAUUGCGCCCGCCAGUAUUCUGGCGGGCAUGCCUGUCCGAGCGUCAUUUCAACCCUCGAACCCCUCCGGGGGGUCGGCGUUGGGGAUCGGCCCCUCACCGGGCCGCCCCCGAAAUACAGUGGCGGUCUCGCCGCAGCCUCUCCUGCGCAGUAGUUUGCACACUCGCACCGGGAGCGCGGCGCGGCCACAGCCGUAAAACACCCCAAACUCUGAAAUGUUGACCUCGGAUCAGGUAGGAAUACCCGCUGAACUUAAGCAUAUCAAUAAGCGGAGGA
RNAcentral lists this ribosomal RNA (633 nucleotides) under Trichoderma citrinoviride. RNAcentral's name for it is "eukaryotic LSU rRNA". The stretch from base 251 to 404 matches the Rfam family "5.8S ribosomal RNA". Lineage: Eukaryota; Fungi; Ascomycota; Sordariomycetes; Hypocreales; Hypocreaceae. The record is from RNAcentral.